This 501-nucleotide ribosomal RNA is filed under the name uncultured bacterium. Its description in RNAcentral is "bacterial SSU rRNA". It matches the Rfam family "Bacterial small subunit ribosomal RNA", at positions 28 to 530 of the family's 1533-position model. The record is from RNAcentral.
GAUGAACGCUGGCGGCGUGCCUCAAACAUGCAAGUCGAGCGGGGCUAUGUAAUAUCGCAAGGUAGAACAUAGCCUAGCGGCGAACGGGUGAGUAACACGUGGGUAACCUGCCUGGAAGACAGGGAUAACGAUUCGAAAGGGUCGCUAAUACCUGAUAAUAUCCUUUCAUCGCAUGGUGAUAGGAAGAAAGGGGAAACCCGCUUUCAGAUGGGCCCGCGUCCCAUCAGCUAGUUGGUAAGGUAAAGGCUUACCAAGGCGACGACGGGUAGCCGGUCUGAGAGGAUGUACGGCCACACUGGGACUGAGAUACGGCCCAGACUCCUACGGGAGGCAGCAGUUGGGAAUCUUAGGCAAUGGACGAAAGUCUGACCUAGCGACGCCGCGUGAGGGAAGAAGGCCUUCGGGUUGUAAACCUCUGUCAGUGGGGAAGAAGUAAGUGACGGUACCCAAGAGGAAGCCCCUGACUAACUACGUGCCAGCAGCCGCGGUAAGAGUACCUAU